GCGAGUGUUCAGCAAAUGUAUCAAUUACAACUAUUUUCGAUAUUGUCAGGUGAUCCCGAGUGCUACGAAUCACCGCAGUUGACAGAAGCUCAACGACAACACUUGCAAAACACAAAUAACNCAAGNGAUGACGCUGAACANCAUAUUCCGCGGGCACAACCAAAUGAAUUNAUUGAAUNGAGGACAAGAAGCCGUAGCAACGACUGCAUACUUAUGCUCAAUGAUGACGUNAUUCAAGGCGGUGAUGAAUUUUAUACAGAGGCAAUGGAUGAUUUUAACGAUAAACUUGCUAAAACGUUUCAAAUAGAAUCAAAACCUACGCCCGCGAUANCUAAACCACUACCAACACAGCACAAGCCAAAGCACAUGACUGGGCGUGUAACACAUCAGCACCCUAUGUCACGCAAUCCAGGGAAUAGUCCUCAGCGUUCGAAUAAUGCCAAGGCGAAUUCACNUCAUCAGAUGAAACAGGAUGUGGNUUUCUCUAAGCAAGCUGCAACGAGAGGGAGUGACUUCGCUCAAGCGAANGUAAGGCAGUACCAGGCUCAACGCGGAGCCAUGAAACAGAGCUCACACAGUGAANUCACAGCCAACCAAUCAAUGGAAGAGGAUUAUUAUUAUCAGAUGAUGCAAUCANUAGCCAAUCAAACACAUGAAGAGGAAGAGUUCUAUGAAAACCAAGAAAUGAUUGACGGCUUAAAAAGCACAGGGGGGCCGAAAGAUGACGAUGAAAUCUAUGAAAAUAAGGAAACCAUAAAACGGCAAAGAGCCAACCAAUAUCGUCAACACAUGACCACCGAUGAACAGCUGUAUAUGAACUACUAAAAUGAUGACGGUCACGUGAUCGCAAACAAAGGAAUAAGUGCCUGGGGACGAGGUUGAAACGNUUCUGUUGCAUCGAUGCAACAGAAUUUAUGCAUAUUUAGUUUUUAUUUAUUUCGCACAAAAUUAACCUUAAAACAAAAUGAAUCAAAACCAAAUUAACACACAAAAAAACAAGAAGCAUUUAUUUUAAAAUAUUAAAAAAGCAAAAAUCCUUGAUUUUCUGUANCAAGAACCGUCAUACCAUAUAUGACAUGAUAUACAGUGAAAAUUUUANUGCUGUUCUGUAUAUAAAGAGGCCUUUUAUGAGCUAUAGAAAAAAAUAUUUUUUUGCAGUUCAUUGCAAUAUCACAAUGCGAAGGUUCUUUCACUAGUUCGAAGUUUCAGCAGCGAAGAAAUGUCAAAGNCUUUCAAUAAUCGCCUCAAAAUUAACCACUUCGAUCAUAGCAUGAGAAAUUGUACAUUGCUCAGCUUCCUGCCAACAAACAAUUGCUUGCUUGAGUAUUUACUUUUAUUGUUUUUCUGCGCUUAUUUAAGCAUGACUUCUAAGUAUCCGCAUUGACUUAACUAUAGCUGGAAAAUAAAAGUCUUUGGGAAAGUCCCACUGGGAGUUGUUCGGAGAAUUUAAGUCGACAUUUUCGCAUGAAAGUAACUGCAGAAUAUUAUAUAAGUUGUCAGUUAGAAUUAAGGUUGUUUGUCAUCUAACAAUACAUCUACACUGUGUAAAUAAACUUUUAAUGCCUAAAAGUGACCAAAAUAACUUCUGCAUAUGCGCACAGCAGUUCAGUUCCCGGGCUUCCUGUGGUAUGACGUCNUAAGUGCAGACAAUUAGACCCCGGGAAAGUCCCGUUGAUGUCGCUUGGAAUAAAAUCCUUUAUUUCCGCAUGAAGUUAGAGUACAGCAUUAGUCUAUGUAUUACAACUAAGCAAGAUAGCUUGAGCUAAAAGACAAUAAUUUUUCGUCGCAGCCCAUUACAGGGAACAGAAGGUAUCCCAACAACUGCACGAUGUCGCUCCAAACGGACGUUACUUUGUAUUUAGUCGUUGGGUUGUUGGUCUGUCAACUUAUAAUACUCGCAUUACUGAUACUUUUUUGCAAAAAGUACAAACGGCUGAAAAAAACCGUUGAAAACUACAUCGCCACCGACGACCUUGAACGACAGAGAAGAUCAACAGACGCGAAAGAACACGCUAAAAACGAAUACAUCCCAAACAAAAGAGACACUAGCACACUUGUGCGGACAAACUCCAAAGAGAGUAUUGUCUUCGUACCCAGUCCUUUACCUAAUAGGAGGUCAAGAUUGGAAGAGGAAGGACUGGAUGUGACAACUACUACAGUUGUGCACAAUGAAGAGAAUUUUGGAUUUGUGAACGAUCAUUUUGAAUCUUCACCGAUUAAUGAAGUGCAUGUUGGCAAUGAAAUACCAACAAUCCACAUAGAGGAAGAACAAGAUAGGCAAGUGACAGAUCAAGAGGAGAUCUACGAGAACCAGGAGUUUGUCGCCAUGGCAAUGGACGGCGAAAAUCAGAACUAUAGACUACAGGUCGUAAAUGAUCCUACUUUUGAACAAUCUGGCGCCUCCUCAGUCGAUGAACCAAUUUAUGUCAAUCGUGAAAUGAUUGAACUACAAAUGCACACAAACUGAAAUAGAGCUUCUCGUUAGCAUAUUUGUAUGCGCAAAGAUAUAAUUAUGAUUAUUUUUAUGUUUUCAAUUUCAGUUUUAUAUUUUUUCUGAAAAAGAUUCUUAGACCGUUUUGACAUUGCGUGUAAAGGCCUGUUUCAGACGUCGAUCUUUUGACGCGUCUAAUCUAAUUGCUUGCAUAUGCAGUUCGCGAGAAGUUUGCUGUAUACUUCAAUUGAUNUUUACGGAUUAUAGUAAGUUUGUCCAACUGAACAAAGUCUACAAAUGUAAAUAAAUUCAGAGUACGAAAUGCUCAUAAACAUAACUCCAACAAUUUGAUUAGACAAAAGAUCGACGCCUGAAAUGGGCCUAAGAGUCGAAAUACUUAGCAUGCUAAUCUCGAUAAAAUUAUUUCAGUUGAAUGAUGUAAAUAUUUACGUGGAUAUAGAGAUUUUUUAGCUUCAAAUGGUGUUUAGGCAGUAGUUAAGAAAUAAUAUAUAUUAUGUUAUAUCA
RNAcentral lists this unclassified non-coding RNA (2956 nucleotides) under Exaiptasia diaphana. RNAcentral's name for it is "uncharacterized LOC110233162, transcript variant X1". Lineage: Eukaryota; Metazoa; Cnidaria; Anthozoa; Actiniaria; Aiptasiidae. The record is from RNAcentral.